UAAAAAAAAAAGGAAGAAAAAAAGCAAGCGCAAAAAUGAAAACCAUGUGGAUGAGUUUGUUUCUUAUGACACUUUUGUUCGUGGCAAGUUUUCAAGAUACAAAUUUCAAAGAAAUUGGAGAGAAAAUCAAAGAUGGAGUAAAGAAUUUUGGUGAAGAUGCAGGAAAAGCCAUUAAAGAUGGAGCUGGAAAAGUUGGAGAUGGAGUUCACAGUUUCAAAAAUAAAUUGAAAGAUAUUUUCGGUAAAUAAAGCCAAGCAAUUGCAAUCUGUUUCGAAUUUAAGCUUGUUAAUAUAUAAAAAUUUAUUUCGAAAA
This is a long non-coding RNA of Hydra vulgaris (swiftwater hydra), 312 nucleotides long. RefSeq lists it as uncharacterized. NCBI's taxonomy places the organism in Eukaryota, Metazoa, Cnidaria, Hydrozoa, Anthoathecata, Hydridae. The record is from RefSeq and is a predicted model, not a curated record.